AGUGAGAAUGAUAUUUGUUCUUUAACAAUGUGGUAAAAAGUAUAAGUAAAGAUUCCUUGAUUAAUUUAGGGUUAUUUUUAUUUUCGAUUGAGAUGUAUUUUUAUGUUUUGAUUGAUAAAUGGGAAUAAUUUUUAGUUUAUUUAAUUAACGAGUCUUGGUAAUUUUUGAAAACCGGUGUUGAGAUAUAGUUUUGAUUGGUUUUAGUUAAUAGAUUUUAGAUUUAUUGAUAUAAGACUUUUUGGGGUUAUAUGA
This 252-nucleotide unclassified non-coding RNA is filed under the name uncultured Piscirickettsia sp. RNAcentral describes it as "partial 16S-23S ribosomal RNA intergenic spacer". Lineage: Bacteria; Pseudomonadati; Pseudomonadota; Gammaproteobacteria; Thiotrichales; Piscirickettsiaceae. The record is from RNAcentral.